Zalophus californianus (California sea lion) is the source of this 995-nucleotide long non-coding RNA. RefSeq lists it as uncharacterized. The transcript is spliced from 3 exons. The record is from RefSeq and is a predicted model, not a curated record. NCBI's taxonomy places the organism in Eukaryota, Metazoa, Chordata, Mammalia, Carnivora, Otariidae.
ACCGAGCAACCCUGUGGAGAAGCCCACAUAGCGAGGAACUGAGGCCUGUUCCCCACAGCUGUGUGAGCACGCCAUCUGGGAAGCAGAUCCUCCAGUCUCAGGCAAGACAACAUGGCCGCAGCCGCCGCCACCAUCUACACGGCAGCCAGACCCUGAGCCAGAGCAGCCUAGCUCAACUGCCUCUGAAUUCUUAACUUACCAACGUGGCAAGAUAGUAGAAAUCUGGUGUUUGAAUCACCACGUUGUGUGGUAUUUUGUUACAUCACAAUAGAUAACCAAUAUAGGGCUCUUCAUCUUUCCCAUAGCAACUGUGACGAAAGGCAAUCCAGGCUCAGCUCCAACACCCCCCAUGACAGAACUUGCUUCCUCCAGCACAGCCCAGGGAAUGGCUUGACCACUCUGUUAUGAGGUGCUGCCCUCACUGAGCUGGUUUUGGCUUCCCUGUAACUUCCAUCCCCGUCAAGGCACACCCUGUGAAGCCAAGGUGCAUCCUCUCCUCUUCCAUGUGACCGCCCUUCAGACACCUGAAGUCAGCGACGAUGCCUGCCCCCGUGUCCUCCUCCACUGGCUACAGGAAUAAAGAGGAGGGGCCCAGGAAAAGAGACAUAGUCUGUAGGUAGGCCACAGUCUUUUGUGCACCAACCCAAGAGGGACUGGAUACUGAGAGGCCUUGGGAAAUGAGGAACACCAGUCCUGAACCACUAGGCAUCGUUCCAGAGACGAUCACCCUGCAGAAAAUCUUCCUGCACACAGAUGUCUGCAGCAGUCUGUCUCUCAGGAAACCUGACUCAAGACUCCCGGCUUUCCUACAUGCUCUUGACAUGAGUAGGAGUGUUGGCCCAUAUACGUAAUAGUCCCAACUCCUACAGACGGUCCUCAACAUCCAGCGUGUUUUUAAGGCUUACAGAAGAUGUGAAUUCAAACUAGUCUCUUUGCAAAUGCUCAACGCUGCGUGUUGGUUGGGGUUGCCCGUGUUGCACGGUACACAUUUAGUG